RNAcentral lists this ribosomal RNA (423 nucleotides) under uncultured bacterium. RNAcentral's name for it is "bacterial SSU rRNA". It matches the Rfam family "Bacterial small subunit ribosomal RNA", at positions 355 to 775 of the family's 1533-position model. The record is from RNAcentral.
UGAGGAAUAUUGGUCGAUGGGCGCAAGCCCGAACCAGCCAUCCCGCGUGCAGGAAGACGGCGCUAUGCGUUGAAAACUGCUUUUCCAGGGGGAGAAACUUGCGCACGUGUUGCGCAAUUGACGGUACCCUGGGAAUAAGCAUCGGCUAACUCCGUGCCAGCAGCCGCGGUAAUACGGAGGAUGCGAGCGUUAUCCGGAUUCAUUGGGUUUAAAGGUGCGUAGGCGGACUAUUAAGUCAGUGGUGAAAUCCUGCAGCUUAACUGCAGAACUGCCAUUGAUACUGAUAGCCUUGAGUUUGGUUAAGGUAGGCGGAAUGUGUAAUGUAGCGGUGAAAUGCUUAGAUAUUACACAGAACACCAAUUGCGUAGGCAGCUUACUGAGCCGACACUGACGCUGAGGCACGAAAGCGUGGGGAUCGAACAG